GCGUGGUGACUGGUUGGUUCAACUAACUGGGAUAUUAUUUUGUUGUUUUAACCCUCUGGUCCGAUGCACAUUGGAUAUACGUUAGCAGGUUUCACACGCUCAAAAUUCAGUCUUCUCUGGAAAAGUAGUUCUUGUCCUGGACAGACGAAAGCCAUCCUUCAGAAGGGUGUGUACCAGCAGGCAUGGGAUACUGGUGUUGAUUCAGAAGCUUUCUGUCAUCUGGGUUGGUGGUGGCUAAUACUCUAUGGGGCCAUUGAGGAAAACAACUGGACAAUGGAAAGAUUUGUAUACAGGUGAGUGUGAACUUCCCUAACAUCACCUGGCAGAGAAGUCAUCCCUGGCUAGCUGGUCAGUCUCACAUUGGAACGCCAGGGUGUGGUGAGAGGAUUUUUGGGCCAGUAAAGGACCAGGUGUGGUGGAGUUCUGAGAAAGGUGUCUGAGAUUUCCCUUUAGAUUUGUGCAAAACUCUCUAGAAUUGUGUUGAUGGAACAGAAUAUUCAGAAUAAUCUGUGAGUUUCCUGAACAUAGAACCUCAAGUCCCAAUGAUGACUGUCCCUCUCAACCCAAACAUCUAAAGGUUAAAAACCUAAAAACUGUAUGAUUAAACCAAGCCACUGUACUCCAACAAUGUUAUGCUGGCAAUGCAAUUUGACCCAUUCUCAUAUAAUGCAGAAUGUAGUUAAAAUCAAAUCUUUAUCUGCAAAUAUUACUAAUAUUCUGAGUUUAAAAUAUGCAUCUUGGCCAUCUAACAUCCUAGAUGCUGAGAUGACAUUAGUGUUGAUUGAGGAGUGGAGGAUUGGUGUUGUAUUCAUUUAACAUAUCCUGGCAAUGCCAGCUGUGAAUAAUUAUUUUAGUUCAGGGGAGCUCAGAUACUGUACCUUUAGUUGGGGACAUUGAUGUUACCACCAGGGGGUAAUGUUGGCCACAAAUUGGCUUUCCGUAGAUCUUGAUCAUGUAUAGCCCCAGCUGAAUAAAGUGGGGUUUGCGUCUGGAUAUCUAAACUAUGUUCUUAAGUCCAUCUUGUUUUUUUGCCUCACCAGGAAACACACAUGUGUCAUAGAAAUGUAUCUUGAUGAUGUGUCUGUUUUGUCCUGGCUAUUUUCCUGUAAUUUUAGUGCAGAGUCAGUUACACUAAGUGGGACUUGCUGUAAUGACAAUGUACUGACUAUUUUAUUCUUUAAUAAAGCAGAUAAUAAAGCGAUGAUAAACCACAAAAUGUAGCAGAUCUUUAAUUUUAUUUGUCCAUCUGUUUGGAUUAAAGGUAAUGUCAUUGACACCCCUUAUUGAUUAAUCAUAAUGAAGUCCUCCCUCAAAUUCAACCUACAUGUCAACAAAAGCAAGCAAUUGGUGUGAGGCAGCCAUCCAUCUCAAAGGUUAGCUAACGAUUAGCAAAUUGUUUUGUAACAAUACAGUGGCUUCUGAAAAGUAUUCAGAUCCCUUCACCUUCUCCAUGUUGUGUGUUAUAGACUGAAUUAAGAAAUUAAUAAUUUUUUCGCCAUGAAUCUACACAAUAACCAUAAUAGCAAAGAAAAAAAAACAUGUUUAUGAAUAACUUGUGCCAAUUUACAGAAAGUAAAAAAACGUAGUAUUCAGACCUUUUGCCAUGACA
This is a long non-coding RNA of Esox lucius (northern pike), 1609 nucleotides long. RefSeq lists it as uncharacterized. The transcript has 3 exons. NCBI's taxonomy places the organism in Eukaryota, Metazoa, Chordata, Actinopteri, Esociformes, Esocidae. The record is from RefSeq and is a predicted model, not a curated record.